RNAcentral lists this long non-coding RNA (986 nucleotides) under Athene cunicularia (burrowing owl). Its description in RNAcentral is "lncRNA (ENSACUG00000012827.1)". Lineage: Eukaryota; Metazoa; Chordata; Aves; Strigiformes; Strigidae. The record is from RNAcentral.
AGGGCAUCAUGAUGAGGAGAAGUUACAAGCACAAGUCCAGCCAGACCUUUCAAGUGGCCUCAGAAAAUUUUCAGGCACGGGGAGAAAAGGACUAAAAGCUGCUCCCCGGAGCCAGCCGUGCAGAAGGCUGGAUCUAGUUCAUUUCUAACCUGCCCUGCUGCCCUUUUCCAAUCCUACCCUGCAACAAUUCCAGUCCAAGUUCCCUGCGCAGCCUGUUAUUGGAUUGCUGUGGCCCUGCCACUACUGGGAAGGCAAAGAAAACAGCAUCAUAGUUGGGGAUGUGAAGUCCUGAAUGUCCACGUCCUUUCCAGGAAAUGCUUUUCACUUCUUUUACAUCUAUUUCUAAGUGUCCACUUGCUGUUUCAGGCCCUGGUCUUCUCCUGGGAUGGCACAGUGUCCCUGAUGAACACUGCCACAUCGCACAUUGUUUACUGCUUCAGUAUUCCACCUUCUCAUGCUGUAGCAUGCCCCUGGCAGCCAGUAUUCACAGUGGAUAGUGUGAACUGGUGCUUGCUGCUUCGAGGAGAUAAGCAGCAGCAGGCAGAUAUGUUGGCAGAAAGCAGAGCCAGUCACAGCACCAUCUUCCUUUUUGACUUCAGCUCCUACCCACUCGAGGAGGCUUUCCCAAAGGAACCAGAUUUGCCUCUCAAAUCCUUGCAGAACCUGCGGUGGAUUGAGAGAUGUAAUAUUUUCUUACGUGAUAGGCAGCAGAGCCUGCUGGGACUCAGGGACCAGUUGCCUGAGUACUGGAGUCGGCUGCGGGCACAAGCAGCUGCCAUGGACGAGGAGACACAGAAAGUGGAGGGGCAGAAGAAGCCAUAGUCAGCCUUGCAUCCUGAGGGCCAGGCUCUGCACUAUCACAGUCCUGCAGACCCAUGAUCCGCACUGAUAAUUUUGACAGCAACUCUAUUCAAAUCUGUCCUGCUGCUUUCCAGCCUGGGGCAAUUUGUCAUCCAAAAUAGCUGCUUGCCUGCCACUGCUCAGCC